GACGUAGGGGGCGAGCGUUGUCCGGAAUUACUGGGCGUAAAGAGCACGUAGGCGGGAACCUAAGUCAGGUGUGAAAGACCGUGGCUCAACCACGGGGUGGCAUUUGAAACUGGGUUUCUUGAGGGCAGGAGAGGAAAGCAGAAUUCCUGGUGUAGCGGUGAAAUGCGUAGAAAUCAGGAGGAAUACCAGUGGCGAAGGCGGCUUUCUGGACUGACCCUGACGCUGAGGAGCGAAAGCAUGGGUAGCGAACAGGAUUAGAUACCCUGGUAGUCCCUGA
RNAcentral lists this ribosomal RNA (277 nucleotides) under uncultured prokaryote. RNAcentral's name for it is "partial 16S ribosomal RNA". It matches the Rfam family "Bacterial small subunit ribosomal RNA", at positions 524 to 800 of the family's 1533-position model. The record is from RNAcentral.